GACGAACGCUGGCGGCGUGCUUAACACAUGCAAGUCGAACGGAAAGGCCCGGCUUUUGUGGGGUGCUCGAGUGGCGAACGGGUGAGUAACACGUGAGUAACAUGCCCUUGACUUUGGGAUAACUUCAGGAAACUGGGGCUAAUACCGGAUAGGAGCUCCUGCUGCAUGGGGGGGGUUGGAAAGUUUCGGCGGUUGGGGAUGGACUCGCGGCUUAUCAGCUUGUUGGUGGGGUAGUGGCUUACCAAGGCUUUGACGGGUAGCCGGCAUGAGAGGGUGACCGGCCACAUUGGGCCUGCGAUACGGCCCAGACUCCUACGGGAGGCAACAGUGGGGAAUAUUGCACAAUGGGCGGAAGCCUGAUGCAGCAACGCCGCGUGCGGGAUGACGGCCUUCGGGUUGUAAACCGCUUUCGCCUGUGACGAAGCGUGAGUGACGGUAAUGGGUAAAGAAGCACCGGCUAACUACGUG
RNAcentral lists this ribosomal RNA (468 nucleotides) under uncultured bacterium. RNAcentral describes it as "partial 16S ribosomal RNA". It matches the Rfam family "Bacterial small subunit ribosomal RNA", at positions 28 to 507 of the family's 1533-position model. The record is from RNAcentral.